AGUUUGAUCCUGGCUCAGAUUGAACGCUGGCGGAAUGCUUUACACAUGCAAGUCGAACGGCAGCACGGACUUCGGUCUGGUGGCGAGUGGCGAACGGGUGAGUAACAUAUCGGAACGUAUCCAAUAAUGGGGGAUAACUAAUCGAAAGGUUGGCUAAUACCGCAUACGCCCUACGGGGGAAAGCUAGGGACCUUCGGGCCUGGCGUUAAUGGAGCGGCCGAUAUCUGAUUAGCUAGUUGGUGGGGUAAAGGCCCACCAAGGCGACGAUCAGUAGCUGGUCUGAGAGGACGACCAGCCACACUGGAACUGAGACACGGUCCAGACUCCUACGGGAGGCAGCAGUGGGGAAUUUUGGACAAUGGGCGCAAGCCUGAUCCAGCCAUUCCGCGUGAGUGAAGAAGGCCUUCGGGUUGUAAAGCUCUUUCGCAAGGGAAGAAAACUUAGGCUCUAACAUAGCCUGAGGUUGACGGUACCUUGAUAAGAAGCACCGGCUAACUACGUGCCAGCAGCCGCGGUAAUACGUAGGGUGCGAGCGUUAAUCGGAAUUACUGGGCGUAAAGCGUGCGCAGGCGGUUUUGUAAGUCAGAUGUGAAAUCCCCGAGCUCAACUUGGGAACUGCGUUUGAAACUACAAGACUAGAAUAUGUCAGAGGGGGGUAGAAUUCCACGUGUAGCAGCGAAAUGCGUAGAGAUGUGGAGGAAUACCAAUGGCGAAGGCAGCCCCCUGGGAUAAUAUUGACGCUCAUGCACGAAAGCGUGGGGAGCAAACAGGAUUAGAUACCCUGGUAGUCCACGCCCUAAACGAUGUCUACUAGUUGUUGGUGGAGUAAAAUCCAUGAGUAACGCAGCUAACGCGUGAAGUAGACCGCCUGGGGAGUACGGUCGCAAGAUUAAAACUCAAAGGAAUUGACGGGGCCCGCACAAGCGGUGGAUUAUGUGGAUUAAUUCGAUGCAACGCGAAAACCUUACCUGGCCUUGACAUGUAACGAACUUUCCAGAGAUGGAUUGGUGCUCGAAGAGACGUUACCACAGUGCUGCAUGCUGUCGUCAGCUCGUGUCGUGAGAUGUGGGUAGUCCGCACGAGCGCAUCGUGCAUAUGCAUCAUUAGUGGGCACUAUGGACUGCGGUGACAACGAGAGUGGAUGACGUCAGUCUCAUGCGUUAUGGGCCAGGCUUCACACGGUUAUAUACACA
RNAcentral lists this ribosomal RNA (1193 nucleotides) under iron-reducing bacterium enrichment culture clone FEA_2_D7. RNAcentral describes it as "bacterial SSU rRNA". It matches the Rfam family "Bacterial small subunit ribosomal RNA", at positions 10 to 1233 of the family's 1533-position model. The record is from RNAcentral.